Molecule: ribosomal RNA, 468 nt
Filed under: uncultured bacterium
Lineage: Bacteria
Description: partial 16S ribosomal RNA
Rfam family: Bacterial small subunit ribosomal RNA
Source: RNAcentral
GACGAACGCUGGCGGCGUGCUUAACACAUGCAAGUCGAACGGAAAGGCCCUGCUUUUGUGGGGUGCUCGAGUGGCGAACGGGUGAGUAACACGUGAGUCACCUGCCCUUGACUUUGGGAUAACUUCUGGAAACUGGGGCUAAUACCGGCUAGGAGCUCCUGCUGCAUGGUGGGCGUUGGAAAGUUUCGGCGGUUGGGGUUGGACUCGCGGCUUAUCAGCUUGUUGGUGGGGUAGUGGCUUACCAAGGCUUUGACGGGUAGCCGGCCUGAGAGGGUGAACGGCCACAGUGGGAUUGAGAUGAGGCCCAGCCUCCUACGGGAGGCAGCAGUGGGGAAUAUUGCACAAUGGGCGGAAGCCUGAUGCAGCAGCGCCGCGUGCGGGAUGACGGCCUUCGGGUUGUAAACCGCUUUCGCCUGUGACGAAGCGAGAGUGACGGUAAUGGGUAAAGAAGCACCGGCUAACUACGUG